Molecule: ribosomal RNA, 226 nt
Filed under: uncultured bacterium
Lineage: Bacteria
Description: partial 16S ribosomal RNA
Rfam family: Bacterial small subunit ribosomal RNA
Source: RNAcentral
GCGUUGCUCGGAAUCACUGGGCGUAAAGGGCGCGUAGGCGGCCAUUCAAGUCGGGGGUGAAAGCCUGUGGCUCAACCACAGAAUUGCCUUCGAUACUGUUUGGCUUGAGUUUGGUAGAGGUUGGUGGAACCGCGAGUGUAGAGGUGAAAUGCGUAGAUAUUCGCAAGAACACCAGUGGCGAAGGCGGCCAACUGGACCAACACUGACGCUGAGGCGCGAAAGCGUG